Molecule: ribosomal RNA, 460 nt
Filed under: uncultured bacterium
Lineage: Bacteria
Description: partial 16S ribosomal RNA
Rfam family: Bacterial small subunit ribosomal RNA
Source: RNAcentral
CCUACGGGAGGCAGCAGUGAGGAAUAUUGGUCAAUGGACGAGAGUCUGAUCCAGCCAAGUCGCGUGAAGGAUGAAUGCCCUAUGGGUUGUAAGCUUCUUUUAUAUGGGAGUAAACAGUUACACGUGUGGGCUUUUGUAUGUACCUUAUGAAUAAGAAUCGGAUAACUCCGUGCCGGCAGCCGCGGUAAUACGGAGGGUCCGAUCGUUAUCUGGAUUUAUUGGGUUUAAAGGGAGCGUAGGUGGAUGGUUAAGUCAGUUGUGAAAGUGUGCGGCUUAACCGUAAAAUGGCAGUUGAAACUGGCAGGCUUGAGUACAGUAGAGGUGGGCGGAAUUCGUGGUGUAGCGGUGAAAUGCGGAGAGAUCACGAAGAACUCCGAUGGCGAAGGCAGCUCACUGGACUGCAACUGACACUGAGGCUCGAAAGUGUGGGGAGCAAACAGGAUUAGAUACCCGGGUAGUC